This 254-nucleotide ribosomal RNA is filed under the name uncultured bacterium. RNAcentral's name for it is "partial 16S ribosomal RNA". It matches the Rfam family "Bacterial small subunit ribosomal RNA", at positions 524 to 776 of the family's 1533-position model. The record is from RNAcentral.
UACGGAGGGUGCAAGCGUUAUCCGGAAUCACUGGGUUUAAAGGGUGCGUAGGCGGUCUUGUAAGUCAGUCGUGAAAUCGCUGGGCUCAACCCAUGCAAUUGCGAUUGAUACUGCAGGACUUGAAUUAGGUUAAGGCAGGCGGAAUGUGACAUGUAGCGGUGAAAUGCAUAGAUAUGUCAUAGAACACCGAUUGCGAAGGCAGCCUGCUGGGCCUUGAUUGACGCUGAGGCACGAAAGCGUGGGGAGCAAACAGG